GGAGAAGCGGGGAGGAGAAAACAGCAGCGGCGUUCCUGGGGCGGGACCUGCGGCGGCAGCCGGCCGGGCGCUUGGGCGACUGCUCCGACGACCUUUACGCGAGAGACGGGCUGCAGCCUCAAGGACCUGUUGCAACAGGAUCGCUUCGCCAACAAGGACAUCUGUUUCUGAAGUUGCAAAAUUUGGAGGCCACAUCUCCCUGGUUCCUGGGCCGCUGUGCUGCUGUCCUGCCAGGUCCAACUUGGGAUGGCCAAAGCCUCCUCCACCUGCCCAGCACCUCUUAGUGCCGGAGCACGGCUGUCCCAUGGCAGCAGGCACCAGCAUGCUGUUGCCCCUUUGCUGAACAGAUUUUUUGCUGUUAUCAUUUGGACUUUCCAGGUCUGUUCCCCAUUUGGAACAGAAGCCAAAGGCACAGAAAAAUGUUUUCUUGGAUUUUUUCUCUACACUUAAAAAAUCCAUGCAAAGUCUAUUUUCAUGCAUAAGUGCUGUAAGUAAUUUUGACAGAAGCAACUUCCUGCAAAUUCUCAAGAAGAGGAUCUCUCCCCUGCCAAAAAGGCUUUCUUUUUUUGGUCUUUGUAUUGUGAGAAACUCACACAAACCACAUUGCUUCUGUCUCCUCUUUGUACCGCAGACACCCCGGGCCAUAGGCCUGUUAAAACUGAACCUGUAACUCUUCCUUUUUCCUGUAAUCCCUGUGCCACACAAAGGACCUCAUCACUUCAGCUACCAGACAAAAGGAGUGCUUUUAUUCACUGCCUUUAUAGCUCUCCAGUGGCUCUCUUGCACCAGCAUCCUUAGCUCUCAAAACAGUCAACCCCAUCCUGAGUGUUUAAUUAUCAGUUAUCUCCAGUGCACAAGCUAUUACUAAUUUUGCCAUGUCAAUAACCUCCUGAAAAUCUUACUUUUUUCAGCAAUUGAUAGGAAAGAGAGGUGUUCAUCACAGAAUGUACUGGCAUAACUAUUUAAUUUACUGGCAUGUUCUUCUUCUUUACUUUUGUGUCUUAGAUUGAAGUGUUACACUAGUACAGCCUCAUACAAUAAGUCCGUUCCACUAACAGUAAAGUGCCUUGUUUUGACAUAGCUCAUUCUCCUUCCUCAAACAAAUUAGCAUUACCUUGUGCAUAUUGCAUUUUAUAUUGAUAUAUGUAUAUCCACAAUGGGAAAGCUCUAUGAAUUAACUUUACCACUUCUGGCUAUUGGCAAGACCCAAGUCUGCAUAAAAAUAAAUGCUAUUUUCAGUAGUAGUCUUGACAUGUGAACACAAAUGCAAUAUUCUUUUGAAAACAAAACGUACAAUAGAAUAUAAACACCUAUGUCUGUAUGCAGUUCCUUGUUUCUCUGCAUAUAUAUUCAACUAUAACACAUAUUUCAUAUAUAUAACUACAUAUUAAUCAAAUUCAGGUGAAUAUAUAAAAUAACCUAUUUAUCAAAAAGUUUAUAGUUUUCACAUUUUCAUAUCAACCUAUAUGUAAACCAUUAGGUUCCAGAAGUACCCAUUAGAUAAAUAACUUAUAUAAGUAAUGUAAUUGUUGACACACCUAACACCUGCCAAUGUUACCUGUUGAAUAAAAGCAAGUAUUCUGACUCAGAAAGAAAGAUUCAAAAUAAUAUAUCUAAAAGCUGCAGUUCUUGAUCAGAGUUGAGGCUGUUUAUUAAGUGAAUCCUAUGAUUUUUUUUUUAAUCCAGUACUGAGGAGUCUUUCUCUUAGUAAUAAUCUGUUCAUAUCCCUUUGCUGAGCCCUGCAUGAAUACAAAUUUCAGCAGCAUCCGGUAAUAACAUGGAAAAAAAAUCUACAUUGCUGAAGAUUACUUUGACUGAUGUUACUGAAGGUUACUCAUAGCCCUGCUUCCACCUCUGCUUUACUCUGGUCUGAUCACUGAGCAGGACUGUUUGUAAGAAAUUGUUUCCGUGUCUGCAAGCAAAAGCUUUCAGAAUAUAUUUUCCUGCAAAUAACCGAUGUGUACUAGCUAGAGUAAAAAUGUGUACCCGUAUGAUUUGUUUAUUGUGGUUCAGCCCCCAUUUCCCCAUGAUUUGUUGCAUACACACUGUUGUACAUUGAUUCACACCAUGUGCUGGGAAGGUAUUCUUCCAGACAAUGCUCCAGGGUCACUGUCUCGUGUGACACAUAUAGGAACCUAGUGGGAUUCCACAGUUUGGGGUGAAACCAAGCUAUUUUCAGGACUCCUCUGGUGUUAAGUCACUGCCAUUUCAAAUGACUGCCAAGCUGUAUGGAGGAAACAUGUCAGAGAUCAAAAGUGGAGUGUCCUGAGAAGGAAUUAGAAAGAGACACAGUGGUGGUGUACUGGCAGAAAAGGAGGAGGUGGAGAUGGAGUAAUUCCCCUGACUAGUUGGGAUGAAGAGUAAUUACUCUGGGAUUUAAGGAUGGUAAAGUUUGCAAAGCAUCUGUAUGGACUGCAGUAGGAAUACUCAUCAACAAAAAGCCAAUACAGCAGCACCUCUGCCUGUGGACAUGUGUAACUAUUAGUGCCUCAGUGCUUGCCAGCAAUCCAUUUGGCUCACUGCUCACUGGAUUGAUGCUGGUCCACCAGUGUCUGCUGGAUAUACAUAUUACGUGUGUGUUUCAGUGGGCUGGUACUGAGAAAAUACUCCAAGAUUUGGAAAAUUCGUGAUCCUGAGUUGUGCUGGAAGCAGUGGCUGGAUGUAUGUGCCUGUAUUUCAGACUGAAAGUCAUGUUUCAUAAGUGGAAGAAAAAGAUAUUUUUUCAAGCUUCUGCAAAGCCUCAUUGAUCACUAUGGAAAGUUCAUAGAUGUCAAUGCAGAAUGAUAUACAAUAGUGGAUGACAGUUUUUUUAGAAAUUUAGCCUUAUUUACUGCAACAAAAAUAAAAAUUGCUCCCCAGACUGCAAUAGAUGUUAAUGAUGUGUCCAUUCCUUUUGUCACUCAGGGAGAUCCAGACAUCUUUCUGCUUCUCUGGCUAAUGACGCCUUUUAACGGGCAAAUGUGUUGGAGAAAGGAACUGUAUGACUGUUCUGAGUAACUGUUGAAUUAACUGUAGAAUAACAAUGAAGGGCUUUGUUGGGAAAUUGAAGGGCAGGUGGAGGAGCCUUACAAACACUCUGAUCAAUAUUUGCUGC
Tyto alba (common barn owl) is the source of this 3094-nucleotide long non-coding RNA. RefSeq lists it as uncharacterized. The transcript has 3 exons. The record is from RefSeq and is a predicted model, not a curated record. NCBI's taxonomy places the organism in Eukaryota, Metazoa, Chordata, Aves, Strigiformes, Tytonidae.